Molecule: ribosomal RNA, 675 nt
Filed under: uncultured bacterium
Lineage: Bacteria
Description: bacterial SSU rRNA
Rfam family: Bacterial small subunit ribosomal RNA
Source: RNAcentral
UGCUGUUUCGCUGACGAGUGGCGGACGGGUGAGUAAUGUCUGGGAAACUGCCUGAUGGAGGGGGAUAACUACUGGAAACGGUAGCUAAUACCGCAUAACGUCGCAAGACCAAAGAGGGGGACCUUCGGGCCUCUUGCCAUCGGAUGUGCCCAGAUGGGAUUAGCUAGUAGGUGGGGUAACGGCUCACCUAGGCGACGAUCCCUAGCUGGUCUGAGAGGAUGACCAGCCACACUGGAACUGAGACACGGUCCAGACUCCUACGGGAGGCAGCAGUGGGGAAUACUGCACAAUGGGCGCAAGCCUGAUGCAGCCAUGCCGCGUGUAUGAAGAAGGCCUUCGGGUUGUAAAGUACUUUCAGCGGGGAGGAAGGGAGUAAAGUUAAUACCUUUACUCAUUGACGUUACCCGCAGAAGAAGCACCGGCUAACUCCGUGCCAGCAGCCGCGGUAAUACGGAGGGUGCAAGCGUUAAUCGGAAUUACUGGGCGUAAAGCGCACGCAGGCGGUUUGUUAAGUCAGAUGUGAAAUCCCCGGGCUCAACCUGGGAACUGCAUCUGAUACUGGCAAGCUUGAGUCUCGUAGAGGGGGGUAGAAUUCCAGGUGUAGCGGUGAAAUGCGUAGAGAUCUGGAGGAAUACCGGUGGCGAAGGCGGCCCCCUGGACGAAGACUGACGCUCA